RNAcentral lists this ribosomal RNA (488 nucleotides) under uncultured bacterium. RNAcentral describes it as "partial 16S ribosomal RNA". It matches the Rfam family "Bacterial small subunit ribosomal RNA", at positions 355 to 835 of the family's 1533-position model. The record is from RNAcentral.
UAGGGAAUCUUCCACAAUGGACGCAAGUCUGAUGGAGCAACGCCGCGUGAGUGAAGAAGGUCUUCGGAUCGUAAAGCUCUGUUGUUGGUGAAGAAGGAUAGAGGCAGUAACUGGUCUUUAUUUGACGGUAAUCAACCAGAAAGUCACGGCUAACUACGUGCCAGCAGCCGCGGUAAUACGUAGGUGGCAAGCGUUGUCCGGAUUUAUUGGGCGUAAAGCGAGCGCAGGCGGAAUGAUAAGUCUGAUGUGAAAGCCCACGGCUCAACCGUGGAACUGCAUCGGAAACUGUCAUUCUUGAGUGCAGAAGAGGAGAGUGGAACUCCAUGUGUAGCGGUGGAAUGCGUAGAUAUAUGGAAGAACACCAGUGGCGAAGGCGGCUCUCUGGUCUGCAACUGACGCUGAGGCUCGAAAGCAUGGGUAGCGAACAGGAUUAGAUACCCUGGUAGUCCAUGCCGUAAACGAUGAGCGCUAGGUGUUGGGGCACUUUC